Non-coding RNA from Cavia aperea (Brazilian guinea pig), 129 nucleotides. Lineage: Eukaryota; Metazoa; Chordata; Mammalia; Rodentia; Caviidae. The record is from Ensembl.
GGCCUCUUGCCCCUGAGGCUGCUGGGGAUCCCAUAGCUCCUCAGCAGGGCCUGGAGGCUGAGAUCAGCCCUGGAGGAGCAUCAGCAGCAGGCUGCGAGUGGGCAGCCUUGUUUUCCUGCCUUCACAUGU